Long non-coding RNA from Prinia subflava (tawny-flanked prinia), 506 nucleotides. RefSeq lists it as uncharacterized. The transcript is spliced from 3 exons. NCBI's taxonomy places the organism in Eukaryota, Metazoa, Chordata, Aves, Passeriformes, Cisticolidae. The record is from RefSeq and is a predicted model, not a curated record.
CUGGAGACAGGAACACAAACCUCUUCAGAGAGGAAAGGGUAUGGCCAGCAGCUACUCCAGCAACUCACUAACCACUGAACUGGGCAACUAGGAGCUGGUAACCAAUGAAAAUUAAAUAUGACACUUCUGUAGAGCAGGGGCAGCCGCCCCGCACGGCACUCACUCGUCGAUGGCGAUCUCGGAGGGGAUCUCGGACCAGAGGCGGGCGUACUUGACGGGGGUGACCUGCUCCUGGGGGUCCCUGUCCACGUGCAUGUGCAGCAUGAGGCGGCAGAAGGAGGCGCGCAGGUCGUAGGGCAGGUUCUCGUCGGCCAUGCAGCGCAGGAUCAGGUCCACGUCCAGCUGCCCCGAGAUCUCGUUGAUGGCCAGGAACCACGCUGAUGCCAUGGAUCACGACAGACAUUUUUCCAACCUGAUUCUUCCUGUAGUCCUGCUGGGAGUGCCUGAGCACCCUGUAGCAGAGCCUGCAGAUGUGCCUGAAGGGCGCGUGGCGCUGGUCCCCCAGC